GUCAAUUCGUGACCGAACAAGUUAACUCAAAGACUUUGGCUGUUAACUUAGAAACUCGCGGAGGUUUCCAAGAUGAGGACAAAACCAGAGAGAACAUUUCGUUUGAUAUCAUUUCUCCUCCUCCUCCUCUUCUCCAGUGUUUACGCUAAAACUGCCGCAGAGGAGGAUCGAGACUUGAUAAUCCUUUUGGCAGCUGUAGCUUUGGCUGUUCUCGCUGUGGCUUUGAUUAUUCUUGUGGUCAGUUGCUGUUGUUUCUGGAAAAUGUUAAAGAAGAGAGAGCGUGGCUAUUAGUAGCCAUAGAAAUAACAAAUCGGAACUCUACUGCCUCAAAAACUUUUUGCUUGUGUCUACCAUAGAUUAUUAUACGUGCUGAUAUUGUAAAGUAUCUGCUCAAUACGAAAGAUUGUAUAAUACAACUUAUUUUACUACAAACUGUAUAUUACAAUACCAUAUAUGGCGCAACUUUUUGAUGCCAUCAUUGAAUUGGAA
Pocillopora verrucosa is the source of this 489-nucleotide long non-coding RNA. RefSeq lists it as uncharacterized. The record is from RefSeq and is a predicted model, not a curated record. NCBI's taxonomy places the organism in Eukaryota, Metazoa, Cnidaria, Anthozoa, Scleractinia, Pocilloporidae.